CUAUAGAUAGACCUAUUCCAUAUGGAUGUAGAUCAAUUCCAUAUAUAGAUACCCACACACAGACACAUAUAGCAGGAAGGAGGAGAAAAACGUACCUAGAAAUAUAUUUCUGUAUACACGUAUUAUAUAAUGAUAAUAGAUAUAACGUAUGUAUAUAUAAGUAUGUCUGUUCGUCCACCCCCACGUAUAUGCCUGUAUACGUAUCCGAAUGAGAGAGCUAAGUAGACGACGCUGCUGCACAGAUGCGCUAGAUGUGUGCGCGCGUCCUGGUGCCCACGAAGAGCCAGCCCGGGCCCGCCGCGCCGAGCCCCGCGCACAAGCCCGCGCUCAGCCCGCAGCAACCGCGCCGCGGCCCCAGCGCCUCCCCGCGGGCAGCAGAGAUGGGGGCACUCGGGAGGGAGAGGACCGGCUCUGCCGCAGCACCAGGUGGAAAAAAGUGUGAACAAAACCAGACAUGGAGACAGCACGUCCCCCUCUCUCCCCGGCAGGAGGACCGGGACUGGGGAGGGAGGGGGGACUUUUCCUGGGAAACCUUGAAGCUGCCUGGCAGCCUGAGCACAUGCGAUGCCAGCAGCCGGGCGGGAAGCGGUGUGUGGGGUAGAGCCCGGAGCUGCCGGGCACAUCCAUCGCAAGAAGAGGCACUGCUAAGGCAUCACUCAGCCGGGUAGUUUAGCCUGGCUGGGCUGUGCGGACAGGAAGAGGAAAGCCCCAUUUGACACCCUCCAACCGUCCUCAACUCAUAGCAACAGAGCAGUUGCAACCAAAUUCCUGCCUGGGUAAUAAUGAACAUUGUUAUGACAAGGAGCAACAACUGGUUUGCUAUAGAAAUAGUGUUUGUUUGUGAAGAACCUGAGGAUGAACAGCCAUUAAGACCAACCAACACGAUCUGCACCUAAAAAGUCUAUUGCCUUUAUCACGUUUCGCGUGCUGUUAAAUCGCUUUUCAUUUUUAGUCGUGAUUAUCCUUUUUCUUCACCAAUAUGUAACUUGCUUCCUAUUUUCCGCGAUUGCAAUACGCUAUUUAGCUCCCUUAAAAUAUUUAAAAAGAAAGAAUGGGCUUUUUGUUUCAAAUUCAGUCAAUUAAAAUCCCCCUCCCACCCCCCCUCACCCCCUAUAUUUGUCGGGACUAUUUCCACGUAAUUAAGAUAUAAUUCACUGAUAUUAUUAAGGUUUCUAAUACCGGUGUCUAAUAUCUUUUUUGAUUAAUAUUCAUUGCAUUUUAGGUGCUCUCCACUGAUAUUUGAAAAAAAAAAAAGAUGGGGAUAGUACGAUACUUAGGGAAAUCAUACACAAAUUCAAACCAAUAAAUAUGAAUCAAAGUU
Long non-coding RNA from Alligator mississippiensis (American alligator), 1321 nucleotides. RefSeq lists it as uncharacterized. Lineage: Eukaryota; Metazoa; Chordata; Crocodylia; Alligatoridae. The transcript has 2 exons. The record is from RefSeq and is a predicted model, not a curated record.